RNAcentral lists this ribosomal RNA (459 nucleotides) under uncultured bacterium. RNAcentral describes it as "partial 16S ribosomal RNA". It matches the Rfam family "Bacterial small subunit ribosomal RNA", at positions 338 to 795 of the family's 1533-position model. The record is from RNAcentral.
CCUACGGGGAGCAGCAGUGAGGAAUAUUGGUCAAUGGUCGGGAGACUGAACCAGCCAAGCCGCGUGAGGGAUGAAGGUACAGAGUAUCGUAAACCUCUUUUGUCAGGGAACAAAGGCGGGGACGUGUCCCCGGAUGAGUGUACCUGAAGAACAAGCAUCGGCUAACUCCGUGCCAGCAGCCGCGGUAAUACGGAGGAUGCGAGCGUUAUCCGGAUUUAUUGGGUUUAAAGGGUGCGCAGGCGGUCUGUUAAGUCAGCGGUAAAAGCCCGGGGCUCAACCCCGGCCCGCCGUUGAACCUGGCAGUCUCGAGUUGGAGAGAAGGAGGCGGAAUGCGCGGUGUAGCGGUGAAAUGCAUAGAUAUCGCGCAGAACUCCGAUUGCGAAGGCAGCAUGCCGGCUCCACACUGACGCUGAGGCACGAAAGCGUGGGUAUCGAACAGGAUUAGAUACCCCGGUAGUC